Molecule: ribosomal RNA, 389 nt
Filed under: uncultured bacterium
Lineage: Bacteria
Description: bacterial SSU rRNA
Rfam family: Bacterial small subunit ribosomal RNA
Source: RNAcentral
GACGAACGCUGGCGGCGUGCUUAACACAUGCAAGUCGAGCGGUAAGGCCCUUUCGGGGGUACACGAGCGGCGAACGGGUGAGUAACACGUGGGUGACCUGCCCUUAGCUCUGGGAUAAGCCUGGGAAACUGGGUCUAAAUACCGGAUAUGACUCCAUGACGCAUGUUGUGGGGUGGAAAGCCUUGUGCGGCUAGGGGAUGGGCCCGCGGCCUAUCAGCUUGUUGGUGGGGUGAUGGCCUACCAAGGCGACGACGGGUAGCCGGCCUGAGAGGGCGACCGGCCACACUGGGACUGAGACACGGCCCAGACUCCUACGGGAGGCAGCAGUGGGGAAUCUUGCGCAAUGGGCGAAAGCCUGACGCAGCGACGCCGCGUGAGGGAUGACGGCC